UCAGGAUGAACGCUGGCGGCGUGCUUAACACAUGCAAGUCGAACGGACUUACCCUGGAUGAGGCCCUCGGGCGGAUUCCUAAGUAAGUUAGUGGCGGACGGGUGAGUAACGCGUGGGUAACCUGCCUCACAUUGGGGGAUAACGAUUGGAAACGAUCGCUAAUACCGCAUAAGACCACGGCACCGCAUGGUGCUGAGGUAAAAAACUCCGGUGAUGUGAGAUGGACCCGCGUCUGAUUAGCCAGUUGGCGGGGUAACGGCCCACCAAAGCUACGAUCAGUAGCCGACCUGAGAGGGUGAUCGGCCACAUUGGGACUGAGACACGGCCCAAACUCCUACGGGAGGCAGCAGUGGGGAAUAUUGCACAAUGGGGGAAACCCUGAUGCCAGCGACGCCGCGUGAGUGAAGAAGUAUUUCGGUAUGUAAAGCUCUUUAAGCAGGGAAGAUAAUGACGGUACCUGCAGAAUAAGCACCGGCUAAAUACGUGCCAGCCGCCGC
This 497-nucleotide ribosomal RNA is filed under the name uncultured bacterium. Its description in RNAcentral is "bacterial SSU rRNA". It matches the Rfam family "Bacterial small subunit ribosomal RNA", at positions 24 to 518 of the family's 1533-position model. The record is from RNAcentral.